GAUGAAGAACGCAGCGAAACGCGAUAUUUCUUGUGAAUUGCAGAAGUGAAUCAUCAGUUUUUGAACUCACAUUGCACUUUGGGGUAUCCCCCAAAGUAUAUUUGUUUGAGCGUUGUUUCUCUCUUGGAAUUGCUUUGCUCUUCUAAAAUUUCGAAUCAAAUUCGUUUGAAAAACAACACUAUUCAACCUCAGAUCAAGUAGGAUUACCCGCUGAACUUAAGCAUAUCAAUAAGCGGAGGA
RNAcentral lists this unclassified non-coding RNA (240 nucleotides) under soil metagenome. RNAcentral's name for it is "partial contains 5.8S ribosomal RNA, internal transcribed spacer 2, and large subunit ribosomal RNA". The stretch from base 1 to 115 matches the Rfam family "5.8S ribosomal RNA", at positions 35 to 154 of the family's 154-position model. The record is from RNAcentral.